UCCCUUCCCCUGAAUCCCGUGGAUUCCUCCAAUGUAAAUCCUUUCCCUUGCCCUGAAUUCCCGUGGGUUUCUCCGAGGAAGGGCUCCAGCCCUCCAGCCCGGGUUCCCAGCCCUGAGGCAGCCCCCGUGUUCCAGGUGUUCUCCUACAGCCCUGUGUGUGUUCCAGGUGUUCUCCUACAGCCCCGUGUGUGUUCCAGGUGUUCUCCUACAGCCCUGUGUGUGUUCCAGGUGUUCUCCUACAGCCCCGUGUGUGUUCCAGGUGUUCUCCUACAGCCCCGUGUGUGUUCCAGGUGUUCUCCUACAGCCCCGUGUGUGUUCCAGGUGUUCUCCUACAGCCCCGUGUGUGUUCCAGGUGUUCUCCUACAGCCCCGUGUGUGUUCCAGGUGUUCUCCUACAGCCCCGUGUGUGUUCCAGGUGUUCUCCUACAGCCCCGUGUGUGUUCCAGGUG
Molecule: long non-coding RNA, 448 nt
Organism: Serinus canaria (Common canary)
Lineage: Eukaryota; Metazoa; Chordata; Aves; Passeriformes; Fringillidae
Exons: 3
Source: RefSeq, a predicted model, not a curated record